This 524-nucleotide ribosomal RNA is filed under the name uncultured bacterium. RNAcentral's name for it is "bacterial SSU rRNA". It matches the Rfam family "Bacterial small subunit ribosomal RNA", at positions 21 to 518 of the family's 1533-position model. The record is from RNAcentral.
GGUUCAGGACGAACGCUGGCGGCGUGCCUAAUACAUGCAAGUCGAACGGUCUUUCUAUGGAAGCUUGCUUCCACUGAGAAGAUAGUGGCGAACGGGUGAGUAACACGUGGGUAACCUGCCCAUAAGAGGGGGAUAACAUCCGGAAACGGGUGCUAAUACCGCAUAGUUUUCUUGAUCGCAUGAUCGGGAAAGGAAAGACGGCCUUUGUGCUGUCGCUUAUGGAUGGACCCGCGGCGUAUUAGUUAGUUGGUGAGGUAACGGCUCACCAAGACGAUGAUACGUAGCCGACCUGAGAGGGUGAUCGGCCACAUUGGGACUGAGACACGGCCCAAACUCCUACGGGAGGCAGCAGUAGGGAAUCUUCCGCAAUGGACGAAAGUCUGACGGAGCAACGCCGCGUGAGUGAAGAAAGGUUUUCGGAUCGUAAAACUCUGUUGUCAGAGAAGAACAAGUUGGAGAGUAACUGCUCCAGCCUUGACGGUAUCUGACCAGAAAGCCACGGCUAACUACGUGCCAGCCGCAGC